This 238-nucleotide ribosomal RNA is filed under the name uncultured bacterium. RNAcentral describes it as "partial 16S ribosomal RNA". It matches the Rfam family "Bacterial small subunit ribosomal RNA", at positions 338 to 593 of the family's 1533-position model. The record is from RNAcentral.
GCCUCGGGAGGCAGCAGUGGGGAAUAUUGCACAAUGGGGGAAACCCUGAUGCAGCAACGCCGCGUGAGUGAAGAAGUAUCUCGGUAUGUAAAGCUCUAUCAGCAGGGAAGAAAAUGGCGGUACCUGACUAAGAAGCCCCGGCUAACUACGUGCCAGCAGCCGCGGCAAUACGUAGGGGGCAAGCGUUAUCCGGAUUUACUGGGUGGAAAGGGAGCGUAGACGGUGGGGCCAGGCUGAA